CCUACGGUAGGCAGCAGUGGGGAAUAUUGCGCACUGGGCGAAAGCCUGACGCAGCGACGCCGCGUGAUUGAUGAAGUUCUUCGGAUCGUACACCUCUGUCAGCAGGGAAGAACGGUCACUGUGCUAAUCAGCAGUGAAUUGACGGUACCUGCAACGGAAGCACCGGCUAACUCCGUGCCAGCAGCCGCGGUAAUACGGAGGGUUCGAGCGUUAAUCGGAAUUACUGGGCGUAAAGCGCUCGUAGGCGGUAUGUCAAGUCAAGGGUGAAAUCCCCGCGCUCAACGUGGGAACUGCCUUUGAAACUGGCAAACUGGAGUGUGGGAGAGGAUAGUGGAAUUCCAGGUGUAGGAGUGAAAUCCGUAGAUAUCUGGAGGAACAUCAGUGGCGAAGGCGACUAUCUGGCACAUAACUGACGCUGAGGAGCGAAAGCGUGGGUAGCAAACAGGAUUAGAUACCCGUGUAGUC
RNAcentral lists this ribosomal RNA (465 nucleotides) under uncultured bacterium. RNAcentral describes it as "partial 16S ribosomal RNA". It matches the Rfam family "Bacterial small subunit ribosomal RNA", at positions 338 to 795 of the family's 1533-position model. The record is from RNAcentral.